CCCUGGAUGUGCCGGGGCCUCGGUCUGGGGCCUGCAGCCUCUGGAGCGGAGACGGGCGUUCCUCGUGUCCAGCAGCCACCUGCAGGGACAGCUCGUUGUCGCCCCAUCCCACCGAGACACGUGGGAUCCUAAAACCGUGACAGAAACCCCGCCAUCACCCUGGCAGGAGGCACGCCGGACUUUCACGUGUGCACUCUAUUUGCAUGUGCGAGUACACACACAUGUGCACACGCGAGGGGGAGUCAAGCUCAGGUGCCACUUCAGUCGUCCACCUGUUAAAAACGGAAGAUGGAGCCGCCACCUGUCCACACUGCCACGUGCUCCUGUGACGUGGAUUCCCAGUCCAGGCGGCCUCCGAGCGUGCUCAGCUGCUGCGCCUGCACGGCCCGUGCGUCGGAUGCACCCGCGCUCUUUCAGGAGGGGGGAUGUCCACUUCCACUGGACCGCAAGAGACACCACGUGGUUGAGAUUUACUGCCUGCAGCUCCAGCAUCCGUGUGGGCGCCAGUUCAGUGCCGGCUGCCCCACUUCUGAUCCAGCUCUCUGCUAAUUUUCCUGGGAAAGCAGUGGAAGAUGGUCCAAGUCCUUGGGCCCCCACACCCGUGUGGGAGACCUGGAAGAAGCUCCUGGCUCCUGGCUUCCGAUCGGCACAGCUCCGGCCAUGCGGUCAUCUUGGGAGUGGACCAACGGAUGGAAGACCUCUCUCUCUCUCUCUCUCUCUCUGUAACUCUGCCUUUCAAAUAAAUAAAAAAUCUUUACCAAAAAAAAAAAAGAAAGAAAGAAAAUGAGUAGAGAGGAAAAAAGAGAAAGCAACAACAAAAUGUUCCUAUCCCACAGCAGAUUUUAAAGGAAAAGAGAGAAAAUCGCGUCCUGAAUUUUUUUCAGUGGUCACACAGCCUUGCAAAAACACGAUGCAGAGUUUUUAUCCUGGUGAGCAUCUGUCAGUGUUUUUUUUUUUUUUUUAAUGAACUCCCUAUUGAUGACUUGUCCUGAAUUCCUGGCCCAGCUCAGCACCCAGAAUGAAUCUGGAGUGGAGGACAGCUGUCAGCAGCUCUCUCAGGGUCCACGGUCACAGAUGCCAGCCCGGAUGGAGCCCCUGCCACCGCUCUGUGGAGACCACUCAGGCCCACCCCAUUGUCCCGUUCAUGGGC
RNAcentral lists this long non-coding RNA (1150 nucleotides) under Oryctolagus cuniculus (rabbit). Its description in RNAcentral is "lncRNA (ENSOCUG00000038792.1)". Lineage: Eukaryota; Metazoa; Chordata; Mammalia; Lagomorpha; Leporidae. The record is from RNAcentral.